UACGUAGGGUGCAAGCGUUAAUCGGAAUUACUGGGCGUAAAGCGUGCGCAGGCGGUUUUGUAAGUCUGAUGUGUAAUCCCCGGGCUCAACCUGGGAAUUGCAUUGGAGACUGCAAGGCUAGAAUCUGGCAGAGGGGGGUAGAAUUCCACGUGUAGCAGUGAAAUGCGUAGAGAUGUGGAGGAACACCGAUGGCGAAGGCAGCCCCCUGGGUCAAGAUUGACGCUCAUGCACGAAAGCGUGGGGAGCAAACAGG
RNAcentral lists this ribosomal RNA (253 nucleotides) under uncultured bacterium. RNAcentral describes it as "partial 16S ribosomal RNA". It matches the Rfam family "Bacterial small subunit ribosomal RNA", at positions 524 to 776 of the family's 1533-position model. The record is from RNAcentral.